Molecule: long non-coding RNA, 732 nt
Organism: Strongylocentrotus purpuratus (purple sea urchin)
Lineage: Eukaryota; Metazoa; Echinodermata; Echinoidea; Camarodonta; Strongylocentrotidae
Exons: 5
Source: RefSeq, a predicted model, not a curated record
GACCCUUAACAUCACGUGUAAUGAUCUCAGUGAACGUCCCUCUGCAUCACGUGAUCUCGCUCAGUUCAUCUGUAAGAUGCCUCAUCUGAAGAAACUGACACUCGACGGUCCGUGUCACGAUGACUUCUACUCAACGUCAUCGUCGCUGGCAUCAUCAGCAAAGAUUGAGACUCUUACCAUCAAGUUUGAGGAUCUCAGUAAGCGUCCCUCUGCAUCACGUGAUCUCGCUCAGUUCAUCUGUAAAAUGCCUCAUUUGAAGAACCCGACACUCGGCGGUCAGUACCACGAUGACUUCUACUCAACAUCAUCGUCGAUGGCAUCAUCUGCAAAGGCUAGUGCCUUCCGCUAGAUUAUCUUGAUCCGCCACUGGAUAACCAAGCAUCACGUGAUCUCGCUCAGUUCAUCUGAAGAAACUGACACUCGACGGUCAGUGUCACGAUGACUUCUACUCAACAUCAUCGUCGCUGGCAUCAUCAGCAAAGAUUGAGACUCUUACCUUCGAGAAAGAGGAUCUCAGCAAUCAGCCCUCUGCAUCACGUGAUUUCGCUCAGUUCAUCUGUAAGAUGCCUCAUUUGAAGAGCCUGAAACUCGGAGGUGGUCAAGUCGAGGUUUCUCUUCACGAUGACUUCUACUCAACAUCGUCAUCGAUGGCAUCAUCCGCAAAGAUUAAGACUCUUUACAUCCACUCUUGGGAUCUCAGUAGACGUCCCUCUGCAUCACGCAAAGGUGCAC